GAUGAACGCUGGCGGCGUGCCUAAUACAUGCAAGUAGAACGCUGAAGCUUGGUGCUUGCACCGAGCGGAGGAGUUGCGAACGGGUGAGUAACGCGUAGGUAACCUGCCUCUUAGCGGGGGAUAACUAUUGGAAACGAUAGCUAAUACCGCAUAAAAGUCGACAUUGCAUGAUGUUGACUUGAAAGGUGCAACUGCAUCACUAAGAGAUGGACCUGCGUUGUAUUAGCUAGUUGGUGAGGUAACGGCUCACCAAGGCGACGAUACAUAGCCGACCUGAGAGGGUGAUCGGCCACACUGGGACUGAGACACGGCCCAGACUCCUACGGGAGGCAGCAGUAGGGAAUCUUCGGCAAUGGACGGAAGUCUGACCGAGCAACGCCGCGUGAGUGAAGAAGGUUUUCGGAUCGUAAAGCUCUGUUGUAAGAGAAGAACGAGUGUGAGAGUGGAAAGUUCACACUGUGACGGUAACUUACCAGAAAGGCGGCUAA
This 488-nucleotide ribosomal RNA is filed under the name Streptococcus parasanguinis. RNAcentral's name for it is "bacterial SSU rRNA". It matches the Rfam family "Bacterial small subunit ribosomal RNA", at positions 28 to 500 of the family's 1533-position model. The record is from RNAcentral. Lineage: Bacteria; Bacillati; Bacillota; Bacilli; Lactobacillales; Streptococcaceae.